RNAcentral lists this transfer RNA (75 nucleotides) under Actinomycetota bacterium. RNAcentral's name for it is "tRNA-Arg". It matches the Rfam family "tRNA". From Rfam's summary of the family: Transfer RNA (tRNA) molecules are approximately 80 nucleotides in length. The record is from RNAcentral. Lineage: Bacteria; Bacillati; Actinomycetota.
GGCCUCGCAGCUCGACGGACGAGCAGGCGGUUUCUACCCGCAAGGAUGGGGGUUCGAAUCCCUCCGAGGUCACCA